RNAcentral lists this unclassified non-coding RNA (250 nucleotides) under plant metagenome. RNAcentral describes it as "partial contains small subunit ribosomal RNA, internal transcribed spacer 1, and 5.8S ribosomal RNA". The record is from RNAcentral.
GUAGGUGAACCUGCGGAAGGAUCAUUAACACGAAUUUAUUAUCCAAUAUCAAAAACCAAACGUGAACCUUUUUCCUCCCUACAUAUAUACACUAUAUAUAUACAUAUAGAUGCUAUGUGUAGGCUAACCUCAUAUACAAAUUUUAACACUAUAAACUUCAACUAGUUUUAAUCUAACCAUUAAAACAUCUAAACUAAAGAAGACAAGGUUAUUCGAAAGAGUAAACUUUAGCUUUUUUCGAUUUACGAAA